CCUACGGGGGGCAGCAGUGGGGAAUAUUGCACAAUGGGGGAAACCCUGAUGCAGCAACGCCGCGUGAGCGAUGAAGGCCGUCGGGUCGUAAAGCUCUGUCCUAAGGGAAGAAUACUGACGGUACCUAAGGAGGAAGCCCCGGCUGACUACGUGCCAGCAGCCGAGGUAACACGUAGGGGGCUAGGGUUAUCCGGAAUUACUGGGCGUAAAGGGUGCGUAGGCGGCCCAUCACGUCUGGGGUGAAAGGCUACGGCUCAACUGUAGUAAGCCUUUGAAACUGUAGUGCUUGAGUGCAGGAGAGGAGAGUGGAAUUCCCAGUGUAGCGGUGAAAUGCGUAGAUAUUGGGAGGAACACCAGUUGCGAAGGCGGCUCUCGGGACUGUAACUGACGCUGAGGCACGAAAGCGUGGGGAGCGAACAGGAUUAGAUACCCGAGUAGUC
This 440-nucleotide ribosomal RNA is filed under the name uncultured bacterium. Its description in RNAcentral is "bacterial SSU rRNA". It matches the Rfam family "Bacterial small subunit ribosomal RNA", at positions 338 to 795 of the family's 1533-position model. The record is from RNAcentral.